UGAGUACGAGAUGCUACGGCAUCGAAGCAGUCUAUGUCAUACUUCCAAGAAAAGCUUGCACUGUCAUAAACAAAGAAUGCCUGUACCAUAACCGACACAGGUGGGUAGGUAGAGUAUACUAAGGGGCGCGAGAUAACUCUCUCUAAGGAACUCGGCAAAAUGACUCCGUAACUUCGGGAGAAGGAGUGCCUUAUUUCUAAGGUUGCAAUAACAAGAUCCAAGCAACUGUUUACCAAAAACACAGGUCUCCGCUAAGUCGUAAGACGAUGUAUGGGGGCUGACGCCUGCCCAGUGCCAGAAGGUUAAAGAAGUUGGUUAGCAUUAGCGAAGCUGAUAACUGAAGCCCUGGUGAACGGCGGCCGUAACAAUAACGGUCCUAAGGUAGCGAAAUUCCUUGUCGGGUAAUUUCCGACCCGCACGAAAGGCGUAAUGAUUUGGAUACUGUCUCGGAGAGGGGCUCGGUGAAAUAGACUUGUCUGUGAAGAUGCGGACUACCUGCACCUGGACAGAAAGACCCUAUGAAGCUUUACUGUAACUUGAGAUUGAAAUUGGACUUUAUUUGCGCAGUAUAGGUGGGAGGCGUUGAGAAUAAUCUUGCGGGAUUGUUGGAGCCAUCAGUGAGAUACCACUCUUGUAAUGUUAGAUUUCUAACUUUGUAUCAUUAUCUGGUCAAAGAACAGUUUCAGGCGGGCAGUUUGACUGGGGCGGUCGCCUCCCAAAGGGUAACGGAGGCGCACAAAGGUUUCCUCUGAACGGGUAGAAAUCGUAUCUAGAGUGUAAAGGCAUAAGGAAGCUUGACUGUGAGACCUACAAGUCGAGCAGGGACGAAAGUCGGUCUUAGUGAUCUGACGGUGCUGAGUGGAAAGGCCGUCACUCAACGGAUAAAAGUUACUCUAAGGAUAACAGGCUGAUCUCCCCCAAGAGUUCACAUCGACGGGGAGGUUUGGCACCUCGAUGUCGGCUCAUCGCAUCCUGGGGCGGUAGUCCGUCCCAAGGGUUGGGCUGUUCGCCCAUGAAAGCGGUACGCGAGCUGGGUUCAGAACGUCGUGAGACAGUUCGGUCCAUAUCCGGUGUAGGCGUUAGAAUAUUGAGAGGAGCCUUCUCUAGUACGAGAGGACCGAGAAGGACAUACCUCUGGUGUACCAGUUAUCGUGCCAACGGUAAACGCUGGGUAGCUAUGUAUGGAGUGGAUAACCGCUGAAAGCAUCUAAGUGGGAAGCCCACCUCAAGAUAAGUAUUCUCAC
RNAcentral lists this ribosomal RNA (1244 nucleotides) under metagenome. RNAcentral's name for it is "bacterial LSU rRNA". It matches the Rfam family "Bacterial large subunit ribosomal RNA", at positions 1564 to 2817 of the family's 2925-position model. The record is from RNAcentral.